This 1242-nucleotide ribosomal RNA is filed under the name Eisenia nordenskioldi nordenskioldi. RNAcentral describes it as "16S ribosomal RNA". It matches the Rfam family "Bacterial large subunit ribosomal RNA", at positions 578 to 2831 of the family's 2925-position model. The record is from RNAcentral. Lineage: Eukaryota; Metazoa; Annelida; Clitellata; Crassiclitellata; Lumbricidae.
CCUUUAUUUAAAUCUUAUAAUACCAUCUAAUAAAAACAUAUAUAAAUCCCUUACUUCUUAAUAACUAAAAUAAAAGUACUAAAAGGAAUCUAUAAUAAAUUUAAGUAGUGAUAGCCCACAUACCUCAUGCAUUAUGGUUUUACAAGCUCAUUAAUUAAAAAUAUCCUCCCGAAUCCUACGCGAGCUGUCUACGUAUAGUUAAGAACCCACCACUAGUUGUGGCACCAACUUUGGAAAAUACUUUGACAGGGGCUACAUACCAACCGCGCUAGAAAAUUGCUGGUUUUCAGUAAAAUUUAUAAAUUAAAGCAUGUGGAACUCUACAAUGUAAGAUCACAGAGGAUAAGCCCUGUAAUCAAAAGCUAACUUCAGUGUGUUCAACUUUUAGGCCUAACAACAGCCAUCUUAACUACGUCAUUGUAAUUAUUUCUUAAUACAUCUUUAGCACUGCUAAAAUAACCUGAAAUUUAAGAAAAACCCUUAAUCUUUUUAUAUUCUGUAAAAAUAAGUAUUCUAAAUAUAGUGUGCUUAAACAACCUAUCUAGUUUUAUAUCUCAAAUGCUUAUAAAGGAACUCGGCAAAUUUUAUUUCGACUGUUUAACAAAAACAUUGCUUCCUGAGUUCUUAUAGGAAGUAAUUCCUGCCCGGUGAAUUAUUUAACGGCCGCGGUAUCCUAACCGUGCAAAGGUAGCAUAAUCACUUGCCCAUUAAUUGUGGGCUAGAAUGAAAGGAUUAACGAAAUAAAGACUGUCUCUAUAAGACAUCUAAAAAUUAAUCUCUAACUGAAGAGUGUUAGAUUAAUUCGAAGGACAAGAAGACCCUAUAGAGCUUUAUUUUUAUAAAGUUCUAAAACUUUAUUUAAAUUCGGUUGGGGCGACCUGGGAAAUAACUAAUCAUCCCCCUUUUAUAGAUAACUUAAUCAUAUCUUUGACCCUUAAACAAGAUCAAGAAAUCAAGCUACCUUAGGGAUAACAGGCUAAUCCUACUAAAGAGUCCUUAUUAAUAGUGGGGUUUGGCACCUCGAUGUUGGCUUAGGGAACCUAUGUGGCGCAAAAGUUAUAUACAGGUGGUUUGUUCAACCAAUAAAACCCUACAUGAGCUGAGUUCAGACCGGCGUAAGCCAGGUUAGUUUCUAUCCUCGAUCACAUAUCUAUUUAUAGUACGAAAGGACCUAAAUAAGAGUAAUUAUUACACUCAAAGAACUCUUAUAACUUUAAAUUAAAUUCAUUAUACCAUACAACA